RNAcentral lists this ribosomal RNA (396 nucleotides) under uncultured bacterium. RNAcentral's name for it is "bacterial SSU rRNA". It matches the Rfam family "Bacterial small subunit ribosomal RNA", at positions 28 to 419 of the family's 1533-position model. The record is from RNAcentral.
AACGAACGUUGGCGGCAUGGAUCAGGCAUGCAAGUCGAACGAAUCCCGCCUGGGUAACUGGGGCGGGGGAAGUGGCGAAAGGGGCGAGUAAGGCACGGGUAACCUGCCCCGGACUUCGGGAUAGCCUCUCUAACGAGAGGGUAAUACCGGAUGCCGUAGCGAGGGGGCAUCCUCUUGCUACGAAAGCUCAGGCGGUCCGGGAGGGGCUCACGUGGUAUUAGCUAGUUGGUGGGGUUACGGCCCACCAAGGCCAAGAUGCCUAGCAGGUGUGAGAGCACGACCUGCGCCACUGGCACUGGGACACUGGCCAGACUCCUACGGGAGGCUGCAGUCGAGGAUCUUCGGCAAUGGGCGAAAGCCUGACCGAGCGAUGCCGCGUGUGCGAUGAAGGCCUGG